This 400-nucleotide ribosomal RNA is filed under the name uncultured bacterium. RNAcentral's name for it is "bacterial SSU rRNA". It matches the Rfam family "Bacterial small subunit ribosomal RNA", at positions 355 to 772 of the family's 1533-position model. The record is from RNAcentral.
UGGGGAAUAUUGCACAAUGGGCGGAAGCCUGAUGCAGCGACGCCGCGUGGAGGAAGAAGGUCUUCGGGUUGUAAACUCCUUUUAUAGGGGAAAAUAGUGAUGGUACUCUAUGAAUAAGCCACGGCUAACUCUGUGCCAGCAGCCGCGGUAAGACAGAGGUGGCGAGCGUUGUUCGGAAUUACUGGGCUUAAAGGGCGCGUAGGUGGUGAUACAAGUCUGAGGUGGAAUACUGCAGCUCAACUAUAGUACUGCCUUGGAAACUGUAUUACUUGAGUCGGCGAGGGGGAGGCGGAAUUCCUGGUGUAGCGGUGAAAUGCGUAGAUAUCAGGAGGAAGGCCUGUGGCGAAGGCGGCCUUCUGGUGCUUGACUGACACUGAGGCGCGAAAGCGUGGGGAGCAAA